This 468-nucleotide ribosomal RNA is filed under the name uncultured bacterium. RNAcentral describes it as "partial 16S ribosomal RNA". It matches the Rfam family "Bacterial small subunit ribosomal RNA", at positions 28 to 507 of the family's 1533-position model. The record is from RNAcentral.
GACGAACGCUGGCGGCGUGCUUAACACAUGCAAGUCGAACGGAAAGGCCCUGCUUUUGUGGGGUGCUCGAGUGGCGAACGGGUGAGUAACACGUGAGUAACCUGCCCUUGACUUUGAGAUAACUUCAGGAAACUGGGGCUAAUACCGGAUAGGAGCUCCUGCUGCAUGGUGGGGGUUGGAAAGUUUCGGCGGUUGGGGAUGGACUCGCGGCUUAUCAGCUUGUUGGUGGGGUAGUGGCUUACCAAGGCUUUGACGGGUAGCCGGCCUGAGAGGGUGACCGGCCACAUUGGGACUGAGAUACGGCCCAGACUCCUACGGGAGGCAGCAGUGGGGAAUAUUGCACGAUGGGCGGAAGCCUGAUGCAGCAACGCCGCGUGCGGGAUGACGGCCUUCGGGUUGUAAACCGCUUUCGCCUGUGACGAAGCGUGAGUGACGGUAAUGGGUAAAGAAGCACCGGCUAACUACGUG